This 133-nucleotide non-coding RNA is filed under the name Picochlorum sp. RCC944. Lineage: Eukaryota; Viridiplantae; Chlorophyta; Trebouxiophyceae. The record is from RNAcentral.
CAAACGUUACCCAUUCACGCUCCCGAACGGGACGGUCAUCCAAACCACGCGAGUCGAGCUGGCUUACAACGAAGGAUUACAGCAAGGAAGGGUUAGGGGGUACAAGGACGGAUAUGCGGACGGCAAAGCAGGC